UCCUAAAUAUGCUAUAUUAAGAGUGUAGUUUUUGUUCGGUAAUAUAUGUGUAGCUGUUUCAAAUAAACAUCUUCCACAUUUUCACCUUUCAAGUAAUUGCAAAAUAUGUGUAUAUCACAAGGAGGAUUUUUAUUAUGGAAACAGGUACAGUAAAAUGGUUUAACUCAGACAAAGGUUUUGGAUUUAUCACUGCAGAAAACGGUAACGAUGUAUUCGUACAUUUCUCAGCUAUCCAAGGCGACGGAUUCAAAACUUUAGAAGAAGGUCAAGCAGUGACUUUCGACGUUGAAGAAGGCCAACGUGGUCCUCAAGCUACUAACGUUAACAAAGCAUAAUUAACUUAACAUUAGUAAAUCCAAACCCUGACGAUUAGUCGUCAGGGUUUUUU
This is a non-coding RNA of Enterococcus haemoperoxidus ATCC BAA-382, 388 nucleotides long. Lineage: Bacteria; Bacillati; Bacillota; Bacilli; Lactobacillales; Enterococcaceae. The record is from Rfam.